CAGCCGCCACGGGAAUACGUAGGUGGCAAGCGUUGUCCGGAAUUAUUGGGCGUAAAGCGUGCGCAGGCGGUUGUGUAAGACAGGUGUGAAAUCCCCGGGCUUAACCUGGGAACUGCGCUUGUGACUGCACAGCUAGAGUAUGGCAGAGGGGGGUGGAAUUCCACGUGUAGCAGUGAAAUGCGUAGAGAUGUGGAGGAACACCGAUGGCGAAGGCAGCCCCCUGGGCCAAUACUGACGCUCAUGCACGAAAGCGUGGGGAGCAAACAGGAUUAGAUACCCCCGUAGUCCCUGUCUCUUAUAC
Molecule: ribosomal RNA, 301 nt
Filed under: uncultured bacterium
Lineage: Bacteria
Description: partial 16S ribosomal RNA
Rfam family: Bacterial small subunit ribosomal RNA
Source: RNAcentral